GAAAACGGGUAAGCCCGCUUAUGGCCCGAAAGUGGAGGAGGCGGUGGCGGCAUCUGGUAAUUCGAAUGGAACCUUCCAGAAUCAACCCCACCACCACCAGUACCAACAGCAACCGCAACCGCAUCAGUAGGAGGGUAGCGAGGAGGGCUAUCGAAGGCGGGCCGGUGGGGCCCACGAUAUACAUUAGGGCUUCGACGAUGAUGUUGAGGGUGAGGGUUCAUGGAACCAUCAGAGAAAUUAGUUCUAGAAGAUGGGGGACCCCCUCUUGAGUGCUGCUGCUUAUAAUGAAAUGGGUCUGAAUUGUUGUUGCUAUUCACAUACCUCUCUCCUCCUCUGUGCCUAUCCAUCAGAUUAUUGACUUCGAGAAUUCAAUAAACUUAUUGAGAAUUGGAGAUAAAGGGGUUCGAGUAUCGGGGUCCCUUAAACCCUAGAGGAGUUCCUUGUGCUGAACUUACAGAACUAGUGCUCUAGCCCUAUAGGAAAUGGAGAACUCUAUUCUAGUCUAGCUAUUAUAUAAUUAUAAUAAUAGUGGCCUCUUUACUUGAAUGACGUUGCACGUUUUACAUUGCGUAUCUUAUUUUUCAUUAUUAGUAAAGCAAGAAUCUACUAAUCUCUCAAUUUACCUCAAGUUAUUUCCUUUUUAUUUCGUAUUAAAAAGAAUAAUAUUUUUUUAUAUUUAAAAAUAAUUUAUAAUCACAUAAAAUAUAUGUAUCUCAUUUUACACCAUAAAUUUUUUUAAAAAUUAGUUUUUCUUAAAUUCCAAGCCCAAUCAAAUAGGUUUAAAUAAAUUAAAACUGAGAAAAUAUUGAUUAACUUUUUGAAUAGUACAAGAAUAUAAAAAAAAUUACUUUUUCUUGUCGGUACUAUAUAAAACCACUCGUAUACUCAAUCUUUUUAUUUAAAACGAGCAACUCUCUUUUCUUUUUUUCUUUAGAUAUUCGAUAUUUAUUGUUAUUGGUCCGAUUAACCUAAAUAUAAACUUGAGUAGAUUCUGAUCAAGGUAAGAUUACAUGUAUUCGAUAUUUACAUUAAAUUAACUUAUCAUAGUUAAGCAAUAUAAGAGUGAAAAUAUAUAUUAAUGAUUUAAUAGAUACUAUUUCCCUCCAGCUUAUAUGCAAAUUCCUUUGGCACGCCUUUGUUUAACAGUCAAUCUUUCACUUACCAAAUGUUUAUCUAGGUGUGUCUAAGUCACGUCACUCUUCUAACAUGCACGUAUUUAACCAUAAAAAAAAAGAGCAUGAGGAGGGUAGUGAUUUUGUCCAAAAUCUUAUUUAAGUGCCAUAUGUCAAAGAAUAAACCCAAAAAAAUAAAAUUAAAAAUAUUGAUCAACCUUUCAACCUCGGAGAAGUUUGACCUUACUUAUGAUUCCAUUUUAGUUUAGCAAAAAACUUGCACCCCUUUGCUCCCUAACUCUAUAGGGAUGGAGGAAGGGUAAAAUCGAAAAUUUCACAUGGUACUUUUAUGAAUUUGAGUUAUUUCAUACCUUUGGUUCAAUGAGAAAUCAGUCAAAUUCUACAGGAUCAAACCUAGGUCGCAGCCCUAUCCAUUUAGUCAUUCGAGAGUCUCUACACCUAUCUUUUUUUCUUGAACCAAUAAAUUGAUGAAACAAUAAUCGGAGGGUAGCGAGGAAGGCUAUCGAAGGUAGCCCCGUGGUCGCUGCGGGGCCCACGAUAUGCAUUAGGGCUUCGACGAUGAUGUUGAGGGUGAGGGUUCAUGGAACCAUCAGAGAAAUUAGUUCUAGAAGAUGGGGGACCCCCUCUUGAGUGAUGCUGCUUAUAAUGAAAUAGGUCUGAAUUGUUGUUGCUAUUCACAUACCUCUCUCCUCCUCUGUGCCUAUCCAUCAGAUUAUUGACUUCAAAAACUUUUUGAGGAUUGGAGAUAAAGGGGUUCGAGUAUCGGGGUCCCUUAAACCCUAGAGGAAUUCCUUGUGCUGAACUUACAGAACUAGCUAUGCUCUAGCCUCUAGGAAAUGGAGAUAGCUAUUAUAGUGUCUCUAUAGUCAAUUACUGAUACCAACUAUGAUUCGAUAAUCGCCAAG
This 2038-nucleotide long non-coding RNA is filed under the name Nicotiana tabacum (common tobacco). Its description in RNAcentral is "long non-coding RNA (NTAB_LNC019322)". Lineage: Eukaryota; Viridiplantae; Streptophyta; Magnoliopsida; Solanales; Solanaceae. The record is from RNAcentral.